RNAcentral lists this ribosomal RNA (253 nucleotides) under uncultured bacterium. Its description in RNAcentral is "partial 16S ribosomal RNA". It matches the Rfam family "Bacterial small subunit ribosomal RNA", at positions 524 to 776 of the family's 1533-position model. The record is from RNAcentral.
GACGAAGGAUGCAAGCGUUAUCCGGAUUCAUUGGGUUUAAAGGGAGCGUAGGCGGCCCUGUAAGUCAGUGGUGAAAUCUCUCGGCUUAACCGAGAAAUCGCCAUUGAUACUGCAGGGCUUGAGUACAGUUGCCGUUGGCGGAAUAUGACAUGUAGUGGUGAAAUACAUAGAGAUGUCAUAGAACACCGAUUGCGAAGGCAGCUAACGAAACUGUAACUGACGCUGAGGCUCGAAAGUGCGGGGAUCAAACAGG